AGUAUGGUGCCUGAUUAAAGGGUUACAAUGAUAAAGUAAAUAAAGCAUUUUCAAAUGUUCAUACUG
RNAcentral lists this transfer RNA (66 nucleotides) under Nesomachilis australica. Its description in RNAcentral is "tRNA-Ile". Lineage: Eukaryota; Metazoa; Arthropoda; Insecta; Archaeognatha; Meinertellidae. The record is from RNAcentral.